GACGAACGCUGGCGGCGUGCUUAACACAUGCAAGUCGAGCGGAAAGGCCCCUUCGGGGGUACUCGAGCGGCGAACGGGUGAGUAACACGUGAGUAACCUGCCCUGGACUUUGGGAUAACCCUCGGAAACGGGGGCUAAUACCGGAUAGGACUUCUGGCCGCAUGGCUGGGUGUGGAAAGUUUUUCGGUCUGGGAUGGACUCGCGGCCUAUCAGCUUGUUGGUGGGGUAAUGGCCUACCAAGGCGACGACGGGUAGCCGGCCUGAGAGGGCGACCGGCCACACUGGGACUGAGACACGGCCCAGACUCCUACGGGAGGCAG
RNAcentral lists this ribosomal RNA (320 nucleotides) under uncultured Actinomycetes bacterium. Its description in RNAcentral is "bacterial SSU rRNA". It matches the Rfam family "Bacterial small subunit ribosomal RNA", at positions 28 to 351 of the family's 1533-position model. The record is from RNAcentral. Lineage: Bacteria; Bacillati; Actinomycetota; Actinomycetes.